This 279-nucleotide ribosomal RNA is filed under the name uncultured bacterium. RNAcentral describes it as "partial 16S ribosomal RNA". It matches the Rfam family "Bacterial small subunit ribosomal RNA", at positions 506 to 784 of the family's 1533-position model. The record is from RNAcentral.
UGCCAGCAGCCGCGGUAAUACGUACUGUGCGAACGUUAUUCGGAAUCACUGGGCUUAAAGGGUGCGUAGGCGGCCGAUUAAGUAGGGUGUGAAAGGCUACGGCUCAACCGUAGUAUUGCGCUCUAAACUGAUUGGCUUGAGUAAGAUAGGGGUGUGUGGAACUUCCAGUGGAGCGGUGAAAUGCGUUGAUAUUGGAAGGAACGCCGGUGGCGAAAGCGACACACUGGGUCUUAACUGACGCUGAGAAAUGAAAGCUACGGUAGCGAACUGGAUUAGAUA